This 405-nucleotide transfer-messenger RNA is filed under the name Rikenellaceae. RNAcentral describes it as "Alistipes sp018065435 Standard tmRNA". It matches the Rfam family "transfer-messenger RNA". From Rfam's summary of the family: Bacterial tmRNA, also known as 10Sa RNA or SsrA, is named for its dual tRNA and mRNA-like properties. Its role is to liberate the mRNA from a stalled ribosome. The record is from RNAcentral. RNAcentral also lists the same sequence under 1 other name. Lineage: Bacteria; Pseudomonadati; Bacteroidota; Bacteroidia; Bacteroidales.
GGGGGUGACCGGUUUUGACAGCAUGUAGAGUUUGAUUGUAAGCACGUCGAGUCUUGUACGGGGCCUCGUAAAAGUGAACGUACAACUUAUAAAUGGCAAUCAAAGCUAUCAGCUCGCUGCCUAGUCUUUUAGAAAGAAGGGCUUAAUCGCUGAACCCAAGGCUGGUUCGGUGACGAGUAUCCCGGAGAUGGUUUUCUUCUCUUUAGCCGUUUUCCAUAUGGGGUAUCAUCAUUAAAGGGAUAGCAUUCAAAGAUGCUUCUGAGUGAGUGCGAAAUUUUAGAAGCUGGGAUUCGGAAUCGGUUGUCGUCUACCUGUUUCGGAUAGAAGGAUGAAAGAUGACUAAGCGUGUAGAAAGCCUUCGGGUUCCUUGUUUGGACGCGGGUUCGACCCCCGCCACCUCCACUU